GGAGUUGUGGCUCAGGUGGUUAGAUCAUGGUGCUGAUAAUGCCAAUGUCAUGGGUUUGAUCCCUGUAUAGACCAAUUGCA
Non-coding RNA from Podarcis lilfordi (Lilford's wall lizard), 80 nucleotides. NCBI's taxonomy places the organism in Eukaryota, Metazoa, Chordata, Lepidosauria, Squamata, Lacertidae. The record is from the annotation of a GenBank genome assembly.